GGGGAAUAUUGGACAAUGGGCGCAAGCCUGAUCCAGCCAUGCCGCGUGAGUGAUGAAGGCCUUAGGGUUGUAAAGCUCUUUCAGCUGGGAAGAUAAUGACGGUACCAGCAGAAGAAGCCCCGGCUAACUUCGUGCCAGCAGCCGCGGUAAUACGAAGGGGGCUAGCGUUGUUCGGAAUCACUGGGCGUAAAGCGCACGUAGGCGGAUCGAUAAGUCAGGGGUGAAAUCCCGAGGCUCAACCUCGGAACUGCCUUUGAUACUGUCGAUCUUGAGUCCGGGAGAGGUGAGUGGAACUCCGAGUGUAGAGGUGAAAUUCGUAGAUAUUCGGAAGAACACCAGUGGCGAAGGCGGCUCACUGGCCCGGUACUGACGCUGAGGUGCGAAAGCGUGGGGAGCAAAC
RNAcentral lists this ribosomal RNA (400 nucleotides) under uncultured bacterium. RNAcentral's name for it is "bacterial SSU rRNA". It matches the Rfam family "Bacterial small subunit ribosomal RNA", at positions 356 to 773 of the family's 1533-position model. The record is from RNAcentral.